CCUCGCAGGGGCCGGAGCCCGGGGUCCGCGGGGCCAAGAGGCGAGGGCAGCCUCGCCGAGGGCUGCUAGAUCCGGACGGGGCGGGAGGGGCGGGCCGGCGGUCCCCGGGCCACGGUGCAGGCGUCCCCCGGCUGGCUGGCCGGGCGCAGGCUGCGGGGCGCGGGCGGGCCGACUCCGGGGCGCUGCGUGCGCGCAGGGGCAGUCAUUCAGAUGAAAUUCCAGUCCCCGGCCAGAGACACCAGCCCGCCUCUGCCUUCCUCCUCCCUUCACAAAUAGAAACGGAAGGGGGAGGGAGAGAAGUGGAAAAAAAGGCAACCGGCGAGGGAGGGAGGGAGAAGCCCCGGCGGCGCUCCGGCCUGACCCCCGGGCGGCUACUUCUGCGCUCCCCCGAGGCCCGGCGCCCCCGCCGCGGAGAGACCCCGCGCGCCCGUCUCCGCGCUGGGCGGGCGCCCGGGCUCUGCCGAGGAAAACAAGGAUUGAUCAAACUAGAAAGGAAUUUUUCUCAACUGCUAAUGAACAGGAGGCUCGGCUCCCGGCCCUCCCCUCCCCUCCCCCGGCCCUCCCCCUUCGCCCCCCGGCCCCCUCCCCCCCACUUUCUUUUCUUCUCGGCCUCUGCUCGGGCCUGGAAGGCUCGGGGCUGCGGUCGGAGCCAGCCUGCGGCGGCGGGGCCGGGCCGAGCCGCCUCCCUCAGCGCCCAGCCAUCUUGGGCUCCGCGGCGGCGACCGGGGUCUGGGCGCGCUCGCUGAGGGGCCCGCGGCGUCCUCUGGCUCCUGAUUUUUUUUUUUUUUUUGGUGGGAUUUUUUUUUUCCAAGGGGAGGGCUGGCGGCCUCCAACAAAUUAGGAGAGAGAGAGGGAGAAAAUGCCAAGUCCCGAUUUCUCUCCACCUCUGCUCCACCCACCCCGGUCCUGUCCAAAAAAUAAAAAAAGAUGAGAAUUGGAAGAAGUCGGCAGAAAGGCAAGCGCCCGCGGUCCCCGGCUGCUGCCCAGGCGACGCGUCCGGGGCGGGCCCGCGCCCGUUGCUCGGUCCGAGGUCCGUCUGUCUGCCCGCGGCUUCUCAAGGGAGGGGAGGGCGCUUCGGGCAGGGUCUCCGCAGCGGCUAUCGUCUCACAGCUUUAUCCUCAGAUCAAAAAAGAAAAAAGAGGAAGAAAAAAAUCCCAACCCCAACACUCUCAUCACAGCCACCUUCAGCCAUCUUGCGCAUAUUAUUAUUUCAGGAAUAAUCUGUUUAAUAAAAAUACCUGCGUAUCCAGCCCCUCCCCCGCGUCCUGGGGUCCCCGCCCCGUUUUAAUAAUAAUCUCGAUAAUAAAAACGAUCGGCGGGCCGGGCAGUCCGCGGCUGCCCUUU
This 1344-nucleotide long non-coding RNA is filed under the name Pongo abelii (Sumatran orangutan). RNAcentral's name for it is "lincRNA". Lineage: Eukaryota; Metazoa; Chordata; Mammalia; Primates; Hominidae. The record is from RNAcentral.